RNAcentral lists this ribosomal RNA (373 nucleotides) under uncultured organism. RNAcentral describes it as "partial 16S ribosomal RNA". It matches the Rfam family "Bacterial small subunit ribosomal RNA", at positions 527 to 896 of the family's 1533-position model. The record is from RNAcentral.
GUAGGUGGCAAGCGUUGUCCGGAAUUAUUGGGCGUAAAGCGCGCGCAGGCGGUUCUUUAAGUCUGAUGUGAAAGCCCACGGGCUCAACCGUGGAGGGUCAUUGGAAACUGGAGAACUUGAGUACAGAAGAGGAAAGCGGAAUUCCACGUGUAGCGGUGAAAUGCGUAGAGAUGUGGAGGAACACCAGUGGCGAAGGCGGCUUUCUGGUCCGUAACUGACGCUGAGGCGCGAAAGCGUGGGGAGCAAACAGGAUUAGAUACCCUGGUAGUCCACGCCGUAAACGAUGAGUGCUAAGUGUUAGGGGGUUUCCGCCCCUUAGUGCUGCAGCUAACGCAUUAAGCACUCCGCCUGGGGAGUACGGCCGCAAAGGCUG